AAGUCGUAACAAGGUUUCCGUAGGUGAACCUGCGGAAGGAUCAUUAUUGAAUAAGCUUGGUUGGGUUGUUGCUGGCUCUCAGGAGCAUGUGCACGCCUAACACCAAACUUUUUACCACCUGUGCACCUUCUGUAGACCUGGAUAAACUCUCGAGGAAACUCGGUUUGAGGACUGCUGUGCGCAAAGCCAGCUUUCCUUGUACCUCCGGUCUAUGUUUAUAUACACCCCUAUAGUAUGUCUCAGAAUGUUUGUUGUUGGGCUUUGAAUGCCUUUAAAACUUUAAAUACAACUUUCAACAACGGAUCUCUUGGCUCUCGCAUCGAUGAAGAACGCAGCGAAAUGCGAUAAGUAAUGUGAAUUGCAGAAUUCAGUGAAUCAUCGAAUCUUUGAACGCACCUUGCGCUCCUUGGUAUUCCGAGGAGCAUGCCUGUUUGAGUGUCAUGAAAUUCUCAACCUUUUCAGCUUUUUCUGUUGAUCAGGCUUGGAUGUGGGAGUAUGCGGGCUUCUCAUCUCAAGAGGUCGGCUCUCCUGAAAUGCAUUAGCGGGACCUUUGUUGCCUGGCUUUGGUGUGAUAAAUUAUUUACGCCAUCGUGAAGAGCAGCUUUAUAAACGGGGUUCAGCUUCUAAAUGGUCUCCUUUAAGACCAACUUCUGACAAUUUGACCUCAAAUCAGGUAGGACUACCCGCUGAACUUAA
RNAcentral lists this ribosomal RNA (696 nucleotides) under uncultured fungus. RNAcentral describes it as "eukaryotic LSU rRNA". The stretch from base 288 to 441 matches the Rfam family "5.8S ribosomal RNA". Lineage: Eukaryota; Fungi. The record is from RNAcentral.